UCGACUUUAGCGCAGUUGGUAGAGCGGAGGACCGUAGUUGGAGUACAAAUCUGAGCUGAAAUCCUUAGGUCGCUGGUUUGAAUCCGGCAGGUCGGA
RNAcentral lists this transfer RNA (96 nucleotides) under Ipomoea nil (Japanese morning glory). It matches the Rfam family "tRNA". Rfam says of the family: Transfer RNA (tRNA) molecules are approximately 80 nucleotides in length. Their secondary structure includes four short double-helical elements and three loops (D, anti-codon, and T loops). Lineage: Eukaryota; Viridiplantae; Streptophyta; Magnoliopsida; Solanales; Convolvulaceae. The record is from Rfam by way of RNAcentral.